Molecule: non-coding RNA, 197 nt
Filed under: Youngiibacter fragilis
Lineage: Bacteria; Bacillati; Bacillota; Clostridia; Eubacteriales; Clostridiaceae
Description: T-box sequence
Rfam family: T-box leader
About the family: Uncharged tRNA acts as the effector for transcription antitermination of genes in the T-box leader family. T-boxes are found upstream of many aminoacyl-tRNA synthetase genes and some amino acid biosynthetic genes usually in Gram-positive bacteria. The anticodon of a specific tRNA base pairs to a specifier sequence within the T-box motif, and the NCCA acceptor tail of the tRNA base pairs to a conserved bulge in the T-box antiterminator hairpin.
Source: RNAcentral
AAUAAACCAUUGAAGAGAUUAGUAGCCUUCUUUCAGGCAGAUAGAGACAGGGUGGUUUGGUGAAAACCCGAUGCUUGAUACAGGUGAAUCCGCCUCGGAGGGGCUGCGACGAGCAGCACGGUCACACCGUUACAUGUGUUUGAGGAUGGUUAUUACCAUUGAAUUAGGGUGGCACCGCGAGUCAUAUCGUCCCUUCG